This 496-nucleotide ribosomal RNA is filed under the name uncultured bacterium. RNAcentral's name for it is "partial 16S ribosomal RNA". It matches the Rfam family "Bacterial small subunit ribosomal RNA", at positions 29 to 507 of the family's 1533-position model. The record is from RNAcentral.
AUGAACGCUGGCGGCGUGCCUAAUACAUGCAAGUCGCGCGAACAGACGAGGAGCUUGCUCCUCUGACGUUAGCGGCGGCCGGGUGAGUAACACGUGGAUAACCUACCUAUAAGACUGGGAUAACUUCGGGAAACCGGAGCUAAUACCGGAUAAUAUAUUGAACCGCCUGGUUCAAUAGUGAAAGACGGUUUUGCUGUCACUUAUAGAUGGAUCCGCGCCGCAUUAGCUAGUUGGUAAGGUAACGGCUUACCAAGGCAACGAUGCGUAGCCGACCUGAGAGGGUGAUCGGCCACACUGGAACUGAGACACGGUCCAGACUCCUACGGGAGGCAGCAGUAGGGAAUCUUCCGCAAUGGGCGAAAGCCUGACGGAGCAACGCCGCGUGAGUGAUGAAGGUCUUCGGAUCGUAAAACUCUGUUAUUAGGGAAGAACAAAUGUGUAAGUAACUAUGCACGUCUUGACGGUACCUAAUCAGAAAGCCACGGCUAACUACGUG